ACGCUUUUCGGAGUGUAAACACCUUUUAUGAGGGAAGAAAAUCUGACGGUACCUCAUGAAUAAGGACCGGCUAAUUACGUGCCAGCAGCCGCGGUAAUACGUAAGGUCCAAGCGUUAACCGGAAUUAUUGGGCGUAAAGCGUCCGCAGGCGGUUUAUCAAGUUGAUUAUGAAAUACCGACGCUCAACGUCGGUGCUGUAGUCAAAACUGGUAAACUAGAGAUAUGGAGAGGUGCGUGGAAUUGUGCAAGUAGGGGUAAAAUCCGUAGAUAUGCACAGGAACACCAAAAGCGAAGGCAGCGCACUGGCCAUUAUCUGACGCUCAGGGACGAAAGCGUGGGGAGCGAAAGGGAUUAGAUACCCCUGUAGUC
Molecule: ribosomal RNA, 369 nt
Filed under: uncultured bacterium
Lineage: Bacteria
Description: bacterial SSU rRNA
Rfam family: Bacterial small subunit ribosomal RNA
Source: RNAcentral